Molecule: unclassified non-coding RNA, 203 nt
Filed under: fungal sp.
Lineage: Eukaryota; Fungi
Description: partial internal transcribed spacer region
Rfam family: Eukaryotic small subunit ribosomal RNA (bases 1-46)
Source: RNAcentral
AAGUCGUAACAAGGUUUCCGUAGGUGAACCUUCGGAAGGAUCAUUAAGGAAGUUGUGGUGCGCGCUCUGCGCGAUUCACCAUCAACACUUUUCUUGUAUACUGUUUGGCCUGGCUCGCCAGUGCCCAUUAUUAUAACACCUAUAAAUUAGUCAGAGUCUAUUAUUAACAAAUACAACUUUUAACAAUGGAUCUCUAGGCUCUC